AACGCACCUUGCGCCUCUUGGCUAUUCCGAGGGGCAUGCCUGUUUGAGUAUCAUGAACACCUCAACUCUCACGGUUUACCCGUGAUGAGCUUGGACUUCUGGAGGUUUUGCUGGCCUGUGGUCGGCUCCUCUCAAAUCGAUCAGCUUACCAGUGUUUGGUGGCGUCAUGGGUGUGAUAACUAUCUACGCUUGUGGCCGUCUGCCAGGUAACCUUCAGCGAUGGAGGUUUGCUGGGGCUCACAAAUGUCUCUCCCCAGCGAAGACAGCUUUUUGAACGUUCGAUCUCAAAUCAGGUAGGACUACCCGCUGAACUUAA
This 316-nucleotide unclassified non-coding RNA is filed under the name uncultured Thelephora. Its description in RNAcentral is "sequence contains ITS2". Lineage: Eukaryota; Fungi; Basidiomycota; Agaricomycetes; Thelephorales; Thelephoraceae. The record is from RNAcentral.